Molecule: long non-coding RNA, 1392 nt
Organism: Diabrotica virgifera virgifera (western corn rootworm)
Lineage: Eukaryota; Metazoa; Arthropoda; Insecta; Coleoptera; Chrysomelidae
Exons: 3
Source: RefSeq, a predicted model, not a curated record
AUGAAUCAUGCGGGCUCUUUCUACAUUAGGGAAAGUUAUGAAUCAUAAAAAAUUAUCUUUGAGAUUGGUAUUUAGUUCAUUUACUCACGGUUUUUGCUCGGAAUUUUAAAGAACCGCUUGGAUUGACAUAAAAUUUGGCAUACACCAUACACAUAGCUAACAUGUCAAAGAAAAAAAGUAAUAUUGAGCCGACGCGCCAGUGCCGGAUUAAGAAUCUUGAGACCCCUAGGCAACCCAAGCUAGGACCCUAACAACACACAACAUUCCAGGAAUGUACUACCAAAGUUCUAUCAAUAUUUGAAUGUCCUGGACAUUUAGGGAACAUUCGGUGAACAUCUGUUUAAAUUAUUUCUAGAAUGUUACCAUAAGACAUUCUGUGAACAUACUACCAAUGUUCCUAUAUUUUAAGUUGCGAAAUAAUACAUACGUGUAACAGAUACAACAUUACUUAUAACAUACCAGACAAACUAAGUGACAUUUUAGGCCUACAGUGCAAUAAUAUGUCAAAUUUAAAGAGUUUCCCAAGUUCAAUUAAUACAAUAUUAUAAACAUACAAAUGUAAUAAAAAUUAUUGUUCGCGAAUAUUCAAUUUGGAAUGCGAUUUUGUUAAUAAAAAAAAUACUUAUAACUUACGCAAAACCCAAGAGAGGAAUUUAUAUUUAUUUCUUUUGCGUUCAUUUUCAAAUUCGCCGUGCAUAUAUUUUUGUGCAUGGCGCUUGAGAGGGCAUCACGUGACUAAAAACGACCAACCAACGACCUCGCUUUGGCCAUCUUGGCAUCUUCAUCUUGUCUUGGCUACCUUGCCCGGGCUUGCGUUGCCUUGCCGUGGAUCGUUGUUUGUAUUAUUUGUGCUUUUUAAGAAUAUUUUUUUAAUUCGGAUACUUUUAUAAUAGCUUUAAUAGUAUUAUUAACAUAGUGCAUAAAAUGGUGUCCUGUUUUUAACGCAGUUGGAGUAGCAGAAACAAAUGUAGAUAAAAAAAUCUGCAGGAAUAACGUUUCAAUUAUGACAGAAGCUCGAAACAAAUGACUGUGAAUGAAAAGCCCUAUUAAAAGCUUUCCAGAAGAUCCUGCGAAGAAGACAUGAAGUAUAGAUCAGAUUUGUUAAUAGAGGAGUAUGUUCAAAACACUUUUUAGAAAAAGAUAUUGACAGAACUUCACUUUCAUCUGUUCGUUUGAGAGACUGUGCUGUUCCAAUAGCUUAUGUCACACAGAAUCAGCUGAGAGAAGUGGUCUACAAAAAACCAGAAAGGAAACGGAAUAUGUGGCUACGAAAAGCAAAAGAAAGGUUUACAAAGCAAAUGUGACACAUUUUUUUAUAAUAUUUAGGAAUGUCAGCAAAUUACAUUAAAAAAUGUAUGUAAAGAUUUUUUGCAAUAAAUAUGUUUAUAUUCA